This is a long non-coding RNA of Siniperca chuatsi (mandarin fish), 3435 nucleotides long. RefSeq lists it as uncharacterized. The transcript is spliced from 7 exons. Lineage: Eukaryota; Metazoa; Chordata; Actinopteri; Centrarchiformes; Sinipercidae. The record is from RefSeq and is a predicted model, not a curated record.
UCAAGACACAAAAAUGAGGACUUAACACUUGACUUGGACUUGACUGCUCUGAGACUCAGUUUGACUCUUUGACUUGACUUGAGGCCUUGCAAAGCCACACACUAUUUGAUAUUUAACUAUAAGGUCUUUACAUUCAAAAGACUCUCAGUUAAGGAGAAAAAACACCAGUAACGUACUGUGUGUUUGAUGGGAAAAUGGCGACGCCGUGUCAUUUUAAUGGCCAGAAUUCAGGACUGAAAGACUUGCUUUCUGGCUUUGGAAGAGUUGUGACUUCAACUUCCCAAGAAUUAGAGACUGUCAGACUUGAGUCAUGUCUUGUACUUCCUUUUACUAAAAGCAGCUCUGUGUAGCGUACACCAACUACUCAGAAUCCUGAUAAUGCCACAGCCUCAUAGAUCUAUACACAUGAUCUAGUAUUAUGUACGCUGGUUUGAGAAUACCAAUGUAGAAGACAAGGUAUGUAAUGGGAGAGUGGCAAGAACAGGAAGUAAGACAACCAACAAAAACAACAACAAUGGAGGAAAUAAAAGUACAGUGAAACCAAAUGUUCGAACAAGGUGUGGAGACUUUACAGAUGCCUCGUGAUAGAUAACAGGCCGUCCAGAUGAGUGACAGGUGUUAAGGUGUCAACUGAUGAAGGAGGAGGGCGGGGCUAACACACUUCCUCCCUUGAAAACAAAAGCUGCAGAUUUGAGCUGAAACAUAUAAUGGUUAUCUGUGGUUAAUCGCCUCUUUUCCCUGAGGUUUGGAUGUCUUUUAGGUAAUUGUUUCUUCAGCAGCGUCUCGCUGAGAAGUCAGCAGCCCCAUAAAACUCUGCAGACAUUAGAGCUGAUGGUUUCCAUAUGGGAGGCGCCUUUGUGGAAGCGUCUACCAGCAGAGAUUAGAGACACUGGACAGUCUCACCGUACUUGCUUCUGCUUCAGUUUGAAACCGUGAGGACACUCGCAAAUGUUCGGCCGAACACACGAACCUCCGUUCAGACACACGGGAGAGCAGAGAGCUGGAGAGAGAGGCAAGAGCAUCAGCAUUGAGAGGUGCUCUGGGCGUUGCACUCGUCUGACAGCGUGACGCGUAAGGAGUGGCUCGAUUGACGUCCCUCCUCCUCAGGAACCCUCCAGAUAAGGAGGCCAGCGGGGGAGAGGACAGCCCCCUUUGGCCCCUCCUCCAGCUGGAAGAGGAGUGCCGAGCCCUCGGGGUCUGAUGCCGCGAACUGGAAGACGAAGUUCUCCCCGGCAAAUGUCCGCAGGUCGCUUUGAGGUUGGUGGAAGGCCGGCGGCUCGUUGACUGAAAACAUAGGACGAAAAACGUCAGAAACAAACUAAAGCGGAGUGUUGAAAUAUAUUUCUGAUACAAUUUAAAUGCAGUUAUAUUCCAAAGUAGCUAUGAGUCGGGUCUCUGUGUACAAAUACCACGAGCUUUGCAGGCAUUUGCAACUAACCAACAACAACACCAUUAGCUCUUUUGUCAUAGUUACUCCCACCUUCUUAUUUACUAUUACAUCUACAACUACAAGUCUUUGUGUUUUGAUGCUACUUCCUGUCCUGAAAUAAACUCUUUACAAGUGAGCUUGGUUUGGCAAAAACAUUCCUCCAGGCUGUUCCUGUAAGAAUCAUUGUAAACACACAUGUCCAUGGCUGGAGAAGUUUCAAGCUUUUCUUUCCAAGUGGAGCUCUCAACAAGAUCAUGUAGCAACCACUACUGAGAUCACACUUUCCCCACAGAUGUUUAAUAGAAAGAAAGUGAUGAUAAUCCCAGGAAACACCUACUCAGCAUGAUGGUCAUAUGUUUAGAAACCGACAAGAGAACGCUCGCUGAUUAAUAGGAUUAAUACUAUUACUGAAUUCCUAACCUAACUCUCUAGAAAUAAGCAAAAAGUUUAGCAAUGUAGUGAGAUAAUUCCACUUGAAUCCAACAUAAAUUGUUCUUGUUAAAGAAUUUGAUUAUUUUCAUGAUACAAUUGCUUUGAUCUGCCUUAUAAUUUAUUAGAAUUACUCUCCUAAGAAAAUUCAGGCCAUUUGUUGGUCAUUUAUUGCAGUGCACAGCUAUCACAGCCUCACUAUCACAAUUGACUUGUGGGUUCAAUUGAGUUGAGUGUAAGUAAGGAUGAUUGUCAGUCUAGGUAGCUGUGACAACCAACCAUGUGAUUUACCCCCUCUUGUCCCUUCCCCUCUCUCUCUGAGUGGUUAAGCGACAGGUCAGGACUUGCUGGGAGACUUAAACCUCCGCUCCUUUGAUCUGCUAAUGGGACAAACAGGACCACAGUUGGAUGGCUACCACAAUGACAGACUACCAUGACUGCCGCUGCACUAAUACUAAGUGAAUUUGGAGGCGUCCGGGUCACAGAGGAGGCAAGGGCUGCUGGGAUUGGAGUCUCCCGCUGUGAAACACAUCCCGUCGAUGUUACAUGUCCUCUCCUGGCAACCAGCGAGAGAGUACAAAUGGAAAAGGUCUGACCUGGGUCGUGGACGCUCAGAGCCAGAGGGACUCCACACUGGUGACCGUGGUCGGGGCCGUAGCAGGGGAUGGGCACUGUGCUGUGGACGGCCACCUCGUGCUCCUUACUGUUCUCUGCUAUGUGGAGCAAGUCUGGAGAAAACUGAAGAGAAAGAGGGGAAAAAGAGCCUUUGGAUAUGACACACGUUGUCUCUCUGCCUUUGCUUUGUAAGGCUGAACCCAGGCAAAAAGAGGUCAGCUUGAUCCAUGGCUUAAGUUGCCCGCCCGAGGGGUCAAACCCUCCACAUGUGCUCCUCGAAACUUUCAGCACGGUCUGGCAGGAAUUACCGUUUCUCCGAGCCUGAAGUGAACGCCAUCCAUCUCCACCACAGAGAAGGGUUUCAGUGUGGAUUCCUGCCUGAUCUCAACCUUCAUGCUGUGGCCGAUGUGUCUGGCCCAAACCACCUGGAAGCCCAGUGUCUGGCUCCACGGCGGCGGGAUGAAGGAGCACCUCAGGUGGACGCUGUGGCCGAUGAGCUCCGGGAGAUCGCCGGCCGGGACGGCAGGGACGGAAGGGCAGCUGACAGAGAAGUGGUCGGCAUCUCUGCUGGUUUGUUGUUGAUCCUGAAUCUGUACCAGCCCGGCAACAGGGAGUGGUCACAGAUCAGGUCCUGGAUGGCCUUGUUCUGGAUCUCUGUGGAGUCGAAGUCGACACUGCGAUGUGGAUUACGCAAAGUCCGGUGGCCUCCUGGGUAACACUCUGGAGCUGAGAUGAGGAGAACAAGGACAAAUAGGAUGGUGUCAAACUCUUAUCCAGAAAGUGGAAAUUUAGCAGAUGUUGUUCUGUGUUGAAGUUCAAAAAACAAAAAAAGAUCAUAAAAAUGGGUUGUUCCAGACAGAAACAGACACUAAGCAUUAUUGUGUUAAUUUUCCAGCUUUGGAUAACUUUAAAGUUUUUGGAUGCUUGCCUUUGCUGAAAUAUUAAUGUUUUCCAACCUAAAA